AGGUGAAUCAACAUUUUCUUGUCA
RNAcentral lists this non-coding RNA (24 nucleotides) under Arabidopsis thaliana (thale cress). The record is from RNAcentral. Lineage: Eukaryota; Viridiplantae; Streptophyta; Magnoliopsida; Brassicales; Brassicaceae.